CGUGGUCGAUGCAGUCGACGGAACCGGCAGCCGCCACCCAAGGGUGCGCAGGUGGUUAGCAAAUCGCCG
RNAcentral lists this small RNA (69 nucleotides) under Mycobacterium tuberculosis H37Rv. RNAcentral's name for it is "Fragment of putative small regulatory RNA". Lineage: Bacteria; Bacillati; Actinomycetota; Actinomycetes; Mycobacteriales; Mycobacteriaceae. RNAcentral also lists the same sequence under 1 other name. The record is from RNAcentral.